AACGAACGCUGGCGGCAUGCCUAACACAUGCAAGUCGAACGAGACCUUCGGGUCUAGUGGCGCACGGGUGCGUAACGCGUGGGAACCUGCCCUUAGGUUCGGAAUAACUCCCCGAAAGGGGUGCUAAUACCGGAUAAUGUCUUCGGCCCAAAGAUUUAUCGCCUUUGGAUGGGCCCGCGUUGGAUUAGCUAGUUGGUAGGGUAAAAGCCUACCAAGGCGACGAUCCAUAGCUGGUCUGAGAGGAUGAUCAGCCACACUGGGACUGAGACACGGCCCAGACGCCGACGGGAGGCAGCAGUGGGGAAUAGUGGACAAGGGGCGAAAGCCGGAGCCAGCAAUGCCGCGUGAGUGAUGAAGGCCUUAGGGGGGUAAAGCGCGGUUACCCGGGAUGAGAAUGACAGUACCGGGAGAAUAAGCGCCGGCUAACUCCGUG
This 433-nucleotide ribosomal RNA is filed under the name uncultured bacterium. Its description in RNAcentral is "partial 16S ribosomal RNA". It matches the Rfam family "Bacterial small subunit ribosomal RNA", at positions 29 to 507 of the family's 1533-position model. The record is from RNAcentral.